Pangasianodon hypophthalmus (striped catfish) is the source of this 3997-nucleotide long non-coding RNA. RefSeq lists it as uncharacterized. The transcript has 3 exons. The record is from RefSeq and is a predicted model, not a curated record. NCBI's taxonomy places the organism in Eukaryota, Metazoa, Chordata, Actinopteri, Siluriformes, Pangasiidae.
CUGAUGCCCGCAAAUUAGAUACAAUAUCCCGGAAAUCGCACGAGCGAGCGAGAGAGACACAUGUAGUGAUAUAAGCCGCGUCACAUUUCGGAGGCUGCGCAAUAAGACGCAGCUAUAGUAAGUUUUGAAUUGCAACAGAAUGAGCAUCCUCUGAUGAUUGGUCUCAUAUGCGCUAAAUAGACCAAUCAGUUGUCUCUGUGGGCGGGCAUACAGUCAACCUCUCCCUCUCUCCAUCUCCUGUCAGUUCAGACUGCCAGAGUUCUGCGUCUGCAGCCGCAAUGGCAUCUGGGAGUGUCUGCGAGAAGAGUGUCCGAGAAAAAGAAAAUCUAAAACUCACUUUACUCCAGACUACACUAAGGUGUACCCCUGCCUAAUAGGGGUAAAAAAUAAUGACAGUGUUGCUCGCUGCACUGUUUGCAACAGUGACCUUUCUAUUGCCCAUGGUGGGUUAAAUGACUGUAACAGACAUGUUGAGGAAUAAACAAGCCCUGAUCGGCAUGGCCACAAAACCAGUUGGAUUUUGACACUAAUGAGCUAUCAUAUGAGCAGCAGUUGUCAGUCUUCCUUUUCUCCCAUGGCCCGUAGCCUCGACAUGUGGAGCCAGCGCUGGAGGAGAAAACGUCUUUCUCACCUUUGAUCGUGUCUUCAGGCUGGUGUUAUCUUCAAACAAAUACACAAAUAAAUAAAACAUCCCGGGUGUGUAGCUCUAUGUGUGCACACUCUCAGGUGAAUGAGAAUGUCAGAGUGUAAAGCACAGGAAAGCGAAGGCCUUCUUGCGCUGUAGACUAUCUGAGCUCUCACUCCUUUCCCUUCACCCCAUGUGGCGCGUCUUUUAUGUGCUAUUAGAAUAAUGUGGGACUAAUUAGAGUGGCCGGCUUGAAAGCUGGAAUCUGGCUGUCAGAGGGAGGGCAGGGAGGCGCUAAUGAUUUAAUUUAAUUUAUUGAUUGGGAACGUGCGGGGGGAUUAAAGCAAACUGAUAAGGGGCAAGCGGCCAAUGCAGUUUGUAAUCUAUUGUGACGGAGCGUCAGGUGGAGAGACAGCAAUAAUUAGGGCAUUAUGGAAACAUGAAUAACUGCAGUGUCAGCUCUAAUGGGGACGAGAUACGAGGCUCUGGGAGAGUAGAGACGUCCGUGUCAGGACCGGGAGCCAGGCUGCGGGGUUUAGGAGUGGGGUAUGAGGCUAGAGAUGGACCUCGCUCUACAGAAGAGCAGGGCCAAACCACACAACAAACAAACAAAUAAUAAUAGAAAGAAAGAAAGGGCAGACUGCAUUUCAUGAUUAAAGUGCUACAGAGGAUGUGGAUCUUUGAAUGUCUGACAAACGAUAAAGGAAUAGCUGAGCCAAAAAUAAAAUUUACACCAUGUUUCACUUACCUCAAUGGUACAACCAAUGUUGCUAAAAAGCAUGAAAGGCUAAAUCAUCACACACUCGCCUCACAAGACAACGAUGGCUUCAGUGAUAUAAUUUGUGCAGAAAUAAUUUGAUAAAACAGCAGAAUAACUUCUGCAACAAAUGGGAUGUAAUUAACUGGCAGUUCUACUACAGCACUGCUGAAUUCUCGAUUGGUCAGAAGGGGUUGAUUCAUUUUCUAUAACAGCAGCUCUGACCAUAGUGCCAGCUGUAAUUCAAACAUUAAUGCACUCGUUCUAAUACGUUGUAAUUUCUAUAGUAACAUCUAAUUCACAGGGACGUGUAUAGACAGAUGCUCACAUAAUUUAAUAAUAAACAGAUAAAAAUGUGGUUAUAUAACCCUGUAACACACAGUUUUCUGUAAGGAGUGUUUAACAUUUCUGGAAGAUUUCAGUCAGUGUCGGUGUUUUGAUGUAAAGCUCAAGCUGUCUUCAGGAUGGAGGGCUUUCUGUUUUCUCUGUAACAUGACAAGCCUCAUUUUUUUGGCUUAUAUGUAAAAGAGGGAGGAAGAAAAAAGCUGGUGAGGGAACAACUAUUUAUAGCUGUUAUAAUGUAAGCUAGAACAGGAGCUAACUUGUUCUGCAGAUGUUCCACAACAUUAAACCUAACUGUAAAUGGAUAAAAUGUGUGAUGUGUCAUUCUUUGAUAUAUUUUUAUAACUUAUUAUAAAUUAUACACAUUAGUUAAUUGCUGUGGUAUAAGAGGAAUAAAACACUUCGGUAAAUUCGGUAAACGUUAUUGGAAAAUAAUCAACUUCGGGGUGGUAAAGUUACUGUAUUCACAUCACCCUUUUGUUGAUUAUUUUUCUAUAACAGCAUGCCAUGUUGUGUUUAUUAUUUGUAAGCAACAACAUCCUGGUUCUUAGAGUAUAUUUUGACAAGUUUGGCUAUGUGAGCUAUUUUACUAGCAGUUAGCUGGUAAGUUAAGUUAUCUGAUGUUAAUGAUAUUAGCCUUUUUAGGAUGACUGGUGGACAUAGAAGUGUUUCCAAAUAUUCUCCGGAGUUUUUAUGGAUCUAUAGUAUACUCAUAAAUUCUGUAAUACAAGUAUAGGUAUAAAGUGGACAUAAAAAGUCAUGAAACAAUGUGCUAUCCUACAUAGAUUAUUGUUUAAUGAUUAAAAAAUGAUAUGUUCAAGGGCACACUACAGUGUGUGAUUAUUAUGACAUGCAAUUUGGACAAUGCUAAACUGGCAGCUAUAAGCUUUCCUUACUUGUUAGCUACACUAGCCUUGUAGCUGUAGUGCAAAAUUAAACAAGCAAACAUCAGACACCAAAAGGGAAUUUUUUUGAAUGAACUGUUAAAACUGUUUACAACUGUUUAUACGGAAUGUAUAAGGUGCACUUUCUAAGUUCCGCAGAGGUGAUUAUAGCAUAAUAAUUAAAAAAACCCAAAACAACCAAGCCAAAAAAAAAGAAAAAAGAAGUGAUCUAAACUACAAUGGUACAUCUCCCACUGUGAGGAUGGCUUCUGAUGCUGUAGUCCUGGACUCAUACAUAGGACAUUGUGCUGCUUGCGUGAUGUCCCAGCAUGCCACGGGUGGUGGUCCCCCAGUGAUAGGAGGAUGGAGGUGCUUGUCGGUGUCGUCCAGCUCCCUGCAGGUGUGCAGGAGAAUGAAGCCCAGCGUGGCACUGUGUGUCCCACUGAGAGCACACUGCCUUAACCCGAGUCCUCCAGGAUUCUUUAUUUUUCUCUUUACAUUUGCAGGGUUUUUGUUCUUUAUUCUACAAUGCUUUGAGUCUUAUUCCGACAACAAUCUGAGGGAAUUGGAACAGACAGUCUGACCUAUGCUGGCAGGCCACAGAAGUGGAUGUCUGCUGAGGUUUUGAUUAUGAUUAAGCUGAAGAGAGUGAGGUAGCGGCUCAGGAUGGCACGGUGCAGCACCCCGCAAACAAACAAGAGCGUCUGGGUAAAAGACACGACAAAAGCAAGGACAAACAGCCGGUGUGAAAAGGCCUCAGAGCCGCUGGGCCUUCCCAGCAUGGCGAAUUUCAGCUAGAGACACUCCAGCAUGAUGCUGUUUUUCUCUUUGCAUGUUAGGAGGUGUUUUUUGGUGAACAAGAAUGAAGCUGACCCCUCUCUAACUCUUCAUUCUCCAUGAAAGAUCCAAAAGCAAGAUAAAUCCAUAAUUGGCACCGCAAGACAGCUAGAGGGAGGAAACAGAGAACGAGAGCUGAAGAAAGACGAUGAGAAAUUCAGCUGUGAUCCAAGAACUCUCCUCAGUCAGGGGGGUGUUGGUGUGUGGAGAACAGUUCUCAAGAGACUGAGAAAAUCCAAAAUGGUUAGCUUCUCCCGCUGAGCUAUCUCUGAAUACCACUGAGGAUUUUCACAUCCCUUUUUUUUGUAAGUCAGCCCUGCCCACUCCCUUGUACUUAUUUAUGAAAAUAUGAAAUGGCAAGCCUGUGCAAAAGACAAAUCAGAGUCGAUUAAGCCAAGAGUUGAGAUUUUUAUUCAACUAUAUACAUGUACCAACGGGUGACAAUUUAAAGGAAAAACCAACAUAAAGUGUGUUAGUAAGGUGUUUGGCCACCACGAGUCACUAGAACAGCUUCAGUGCACCCUGACAUCGAUUUGACAAAUGCCUUUUAUG